UACGGGGGGAGCAAGCGUUGUUCGGAUUUACUGGGCGUAAAGGGCGCGUAGGCGGCCAGCACAAGUCAGUUGUGAAAUCUCCGAGCUUAACUCGGAAAGGUCAACUGAUACUGUGCGGCUAGAGUGCGGAAGGGGCAACUGGAAUUCCUGGUGUAGCGGUGAAAUGCGCAGAUAUCAGGAGGAACACCGGUGGCGAAGGCGGGACUCUGGGCCGAUACUGACGCUGAGGAGCGAAAGCGUGGGGAGCAAACAGG
RNAcentral lists this ribosomal RNA (254 nucleotides) under uncultured bacterium. Its description in RNAcentral is "partial 16S ribosomal RNA". It matches the Rfam family "Bacterial small subunit ribosomal RNA", at positions 524 to 776 of the family's 1533-position model. The record is from RNAcentral.